This 256-nucleotide ribosomal RNA is filed under the name uncultured bacterium. Its description in RNAcentral is "partial 16S ribosomal RNA". It matches the Rfam family "Bacterial small subunit ribosomal RNA", at positions 521 to 776 of the family's 1533-position model. The record is from RNAcentral.
UAAGACGAACCGUGCGAACGUUAUUCGGAAUCACUGGGCUUAAAGGGCGCGUAGGCGGGCUACCAAGUCCGGGGUGAAAUCCUCCAGCUCAACUGGAGAACGGCCUCGGAUACUGGUGGUCUCGAGGGAGAUAGGGGCACGCGGAACUGUGGGUGGAGCGGUGAAAUGCGUUGAUAUCCAUAGGAACUCCGGUGGCGAAGGCGGCGUGCUGGAUCUCUUCUGACGCUGAGGCGCGAAAGCCAGGGGAUCAAACGGG